GGGCAGUGGAUGAUGUUGACGAGUUGGCUGAA
Molecule: non-coding RNA, 32 nt
Filed under: Syntrophotalea carbinolica DSM 2380
Lineage: Bacteria; Pseudomonadati; Thermodesulfobacteriota; Desulfuromonadia; Desulfuromonadales; Syntrophotaleaceae
Source: RNAcentral